GACGAACGCUGGCGGCGUGCCUAACACAUGCAAGUCGAGCGGGGUUGAAGCGAGAGGUAACUCGAACUUCUACCUAGCGGCGGACGGGUGAGUAACGCGUGGGCAACCUGCCUCAAGGUUUGGGAUAACAGCCCGAAAGGGCUGCUAAUACCGGAUAUGCCUAUGGCCUCGCAUGGGGCUAUGAGCAAAGGGGAAACUCGCCUUGAGAUGGGCCCGCGUCCCAUCAGCUAGUUGGUGAGGUAACAGCUCACCAAGGCGACGACGGGUAGCCGGCCUGAGAGGGUGACCGGCCACACUGGGACUGAGACACGGCCCAGACUCCUACGGGGGCAGCAGUGGGGGAUCUUGCACAAUGGGCGAAAGCCUGAUGCAGCGACGCCGCGUGAGCGAAGAAGGGCCUUCGGGUUGUAAAGCUCUGUCUGGAGGGACGAACAAAAUGACGGUACCUCCGGAGGAAGCCACGGCUAACUACGUG
Molecule: ribosomal RNA, 475 nt
Filed under: uncultured bacterium
Lineage: Bacteria
Description: bacterial SSU rRNA
Rfam family: Bacterial small subunit ribosomal RNA
Source: RNAcentral